RNAcentral lists this ribosomal RNA (803 nucleotides) under uncultured bacterium. RNAcentral's name for it is "bacterial SSU rRNA". It matches the Rfam family "Bacterial small subunit ribosomal RNA", at positions 8 to 810 of the family's 1533-position model. The record is from RNAcentral.
AGAGUUUGAUCCUGGCUCAGGAUGAACGCUAGCGGCAGGCCUAAUACAUGCAAGUCGAACGGUAAAUGCCCUUUCGGGGGUAUGAGAGUGGCGCACGGGUGCGUAACGCGUAUGCAACCCACCCGCUGCCGGGGGAUAGCCCGGAGAAAUUCGGAUUAAUACCCCAUGAGGAGUUUGAGCGGCAUCGCUUGAAUUUCAAAACUUCGGUGGCGGCGGACGGGCAUGCGUGCCAUUAGAUAGUUGGCGGGGUAACGGCCCACCAAGUCGACGAUGGCUAGGGGAUCUGAGAGGACGGUCCCCCACACUGGUACUGAGACACGGACCAGACUCCUACGGGAGGCAGCAGUAAGGGAUAUUGGUCAAUGGGGGGAACCCUGAACCAGCCAUGCCGCGUGAGGGAAUAAGGCCCUACGGGUCGUAAACCUCUUUUGCCGGGGGAUAAGACAUCCACGUGUGGGUGUUUGAAGGUACCCGGAGAAUAAGCAUCGGCUAACUCCGUGCCAGCAGCCGCGGUAAUACGGAGGAUGCGAGCGUUAUCCGGAUUUAUUGGGUUUAAAGGGUGCGCAGGCGGGCGAUUAAGUCAGCGGUGAAAGGCUCGGGCUCAACCGGAGCAGUGCCGUUGAUACUGGUUGUCUUGAAUGCGGUCAAGGCCGGCGGAAUGUGGCGUGUAGCGGUGAAAUGCAUAGAUAUGCCACAGAACACCGAUAGCGAAGGCAGCUGGCCGGGCCUGCAUUGACGCUGAGGCACGAAAGCGUGGGGAUCGAACAGGAUUAGAUACCCUGGUAGUCCACGCUGUAAACGAU